GAAAUCCUCCUGUUUCUAUCUCUGUCUCUCCUGUCUAACGUUCCCCACCCCCAAGACACACACAACAAUCUGGGAUUACAUGCAUAUGUGUAUACACAUGACUUUUCAUGUGGAUGCUAUAGAUCUGAACUUGGCUCAUCAUGUUUGCACAAGUCCUUUACACAGUGAUCCAUCUCUCUCCAGCCCCAAAUGUCCAAUUCUUGACCUGUACUUAGGCACAUGUUAAACAUUCUCAUUCUGUCUGUGUGUGUGUGUGUGUGUGUGUGUGUGUGUGUGUGUGUGUGUGUGUUGUUUUUGGGUUUUUUUUUUCUCUCGUUUCCUCAAACUUCUCAAAAUGAUCUGCCCUCUUCUUUUUACUCUGGUUAAUUUUGUGAUUAUAUAUUUUAUACCCUGAUUACCUGUUUAAUAUGCUAAUUUGUACCACUUAAUAUCAUUUGUGGUAUCAUUUUAAGUAUAAAUUUUUUGAGCACUUAAUUCAUUCAUAAAUACCACUUCACUGAGUCCAAAUCAUACUGCCUGUGUGUGUGUGUGUGUGUGUGUGUGUGUGUGUGUGUGUGUGUGUGAGCGCGCGCGCACGCGCGCGUGCACAGAUAAGUGUAUAUGAACAUUUCCCUAAAGGAAACUGACUCUUUUUCCUUUACAACUCUUCAAUUGUAAAUAGCUCUUCAGCUAAAGAUGAGGACCCCUUUGUUCCUUCCCUCUUCAUACCAGCAAACAUAGCAACUACGAGAUAAAAACUGAAAUUUUUGUCAUGUGCAUAUGAGAGUGUUUUACCUCUUGUCCUUACAACUUUUCUGCCUGUUCUCUCACCUUGAACAGUGUGAGAGCCUUUUCAAGAGGUGGACUUGUUGAUGGUGUCUCUUUAAAGACAGGGUUUUUUGAAGCUCAGCUAGCUUUGAGUUCAUUAUGUAGUCGAGGAUGACCUUACUGAUUCUUCUCCCUUUGCUUUCCAAGUGCUGGGAUUACAUGUGUUAGCUACGAUAGUAGUCCUAGUCCUUCUUUGUCUGUUCUUAAUCGUUGUUUACAUUUGCAGUUUCUUACCCAUUUUCCUCAUAGCAACUCUGUAUUCUGUUUCAUAGCUGUAGUCUCUUAAAUAUAAAUCUGUUACUUCGGGAUUUUAGUGACACUCAUAGGGGCAUGCUGUAUAUUUAUUAGAUACUUGUUGAGAUUCUGUUGUAUUUUAAUUUCUAAGAUUUCCAAGGGCCUGAUUUGAGGUAAUCCCUUUCCUGUAGCAUAGAAUGACUUUAAUUGUACUUCAGCCAGGAGCUGGUGGGUAUUUAUACUGAGAAUUGCAUAGCUUUGUUCUAUAACUCUUUAUAUGUAAUCGUGUCAGGCGCCAGCUAAACAACUCAGCGGGUCAGAACACUUGCUUCCAAGCCUGAAAACCUAAAUUUCACCCCUGGGACCCAAAUGAUGGAAGGAGAGAAUUAACUUCUGAAAGUUUUCCCCUGACCUUCAUAUAUGCUCCGUGGCUUAAACCCUUCAACACACAAAUGUACAUAAAAUAAAUAAAUGUAAAACAGUGUUGUUGUUGUUGUUGUUGUUUUAAGAUUUAUUCAUUUAUUUAUUUUAUGAGUACGUUGUAGCGGUCUUCAGACACACCAGAAGAGGAUAUCAGAUCCCAUUACAAGCCGGGUGUGGUGGCGCACCCCUUUAAUCCUAGCACUCGGGAGGCAGAGGCAGGCUGAUUUCUGAGUUCGAGGCUAGCCUGGUCUACAAAGUGAGUUCCAGGACAGCCAGGGCUAUACAAAGAAACCCUGUCUUGGGGAAAAAAAAAAAAACAGAUCGUAUUACAGAUGGUUGUAAGCCACCAUGUGGUUGCUGGGAAUUGAACUCAGGACUUCUGGAAGAGCAGUCAGUGCUCUUAAUUGCCGAGCCAUCUCUCCAGCCAGUAAAACAAUAUGUUUAUUACAAGUUUUCUUUAAGACUAUGCUAUAAAUUUCAGUUCAGAAAUACUUAAAAGGGUUUGGGUUUUUUUUUUUUUUUUCGGUUUUUGGUUGGUUUUUUUUUGUUUGUUUGUUUUGUUUUGUUUUGCUGUUUCCUGCAUAUUUUGCACUCAAUUGUUGCUGUGUUUGCAGUUUUCAUAGAAACUAUUUUUUUAUAUUAAGAUGCCUUUUAAUUUUUUCUUAAAAUUUUAUUGUAAGAUUUAAAUUUACAUAAUGAGAACUAAUGAAAGAUGGAAGGUAUAAAAUGAGAUUAAAUGGAAAUAGUAAAAAUUAUAAAAAUGUGUAAAAACAAAGCAGCACAAUUUUUAAGUUAGUUUUACUAAUCUUUGUGUACUCAAAUCUGUUUAUCUUGUUGCUGUUUUAAAGCAGACAUGCAGCUCAUGCUAGCCUGGAGCUCAAACCCAUGGCAGCUUUGAACUCUAGUUCUAUCUGCCUCUGCCUCCAAUAAAUUAUAGAUACAUACCAACACAUCUGGGUUGGAUUUUCUAUUUUUAAAAGUUUAGGGGGAAGAGGACAGAGGGAGGAAGGUAGAGAGAAGGAGAGAGCGAGAACACAGAUUGUGUUUGUAUACAUAGAUGGGCAUGUUUGUAUCACAGUGCCUGCAUGGAAGUCAGAGGAAUGUUUCAAGUGUUAAUCCUUGUCUUCUGCAUUGUUCAAAGCAGAGCACCCCUCCUCCCUUAUUUAUUCAUUUGAGAAUUAUAUAUCUAAAUGCAAUAUAUUUUAAUCCUGUCUGUCCCCACUGAUUCACAACUUUCCCUUGAUUUAACACUUUUUCCUCCCCAAUUUAUAGCACCUUAUAUAUGUUUUUAACAUAUAUAACCUGCCCUGUCUAAUUGGUGCUGAGGCAGGUCUCUGCUGUUUGCCAUUAUAAAUACCAGGUUAGCUGGCCUAUGAGCUUCCUGUCUUUACUGCUCAUCUUGCUCUAGGACCUUUUGAAUGGGUUGUGGAGAUUCCAACUCAGAUUCUUAUGCUUGCAACUCAGGUGUUUUACCUACUGCACUAUCUCCUUGGCCAUGUUUUCUUUUCAAAAGAAUUUUUUAUCUGUAUAUGUGUGCUUGUAUGGGUUUAUGUGCAUCUCUUACACACUGGUGCCUGUAGAUGCCCUUCGAAGUGGAAUUCUAGGCAAUUGUGAGCCAUGUGAUGCUGGGGACCAAACCUAGACCCUUUCCAUGAGUAGUUUGUGUUCUAAACCCCCGAACCAUCUGUCUAGCUCCAAUUUCUAUUU
Molecule: long non-coding RNA, 3171 nt
Filed under: Mus musculus (house mouse)
Lineage: Eukaryota; Metazoa; Chordata; Mammalia; Rodentia; Muridae
Description: long non-coding RNA chr12:3480943-3484114
Source: RNAcentral